RNAcentral lists this ribosomal RNA (526 nucleotides) under Streptomyces lateritius. RNAcentral's name for it is "bacterial SSU rRNA". It matches the Rfam family "Bacterial small subunit ribosomal RNA", at positions 910 to 1429 of the family's 1533-position model. Lineage: Bacteria; Bacillati; Actinomycetota; Actinomycetes; Kitasatosporales; Streptomycetaceae. The record is from RNAcentral.
UUGACGGGGGCCCGCACAAGCGGCGGAGCAUGUGGCUUAAUUCGACGCAACGCGAAGAACCUUACCAAGGCUUGACAUAUACCGGAAAGCAUUAGAGAUAGUGCCCCCCUUGUGGUCGGUAUACAGGUGGUGCAUGGCUGUCGUCAGCUCGUGUCGUGAGAUGUUGGGUUAAGUCCCGCAACGAGCGCAACCCUUGUCCUGUGUUGCCAGCAUGCCCUUCGGGGUGAUGGGGACUCACAGGAGACCGCCGGGGUCAACUCGGAGGAAGGUGGGGACGACGUCAAGUCAUCAUGCCCCUUAUGUCUUGGGCUGCACACGUGCUACAAUGGCCGGUACAAAGAGCUGCGAUGCCGUGAGGCGGAGCGAAUCUCAAAAAGCCGGUCUCAGUUCGGAUUGGGGUCUGCAACUCGACCCCAUGAAGUCGGAGUUGCUAGUAAUCGCAGAUCAGCAUUGCUGCGGUGAAUACGUUCCCGGGCCUUGUACACACCGCCCGUCACGUCACGAAAGUCGGUAACACCCGAAGCCG